GAUGAACGCUAGCUACAGGCUUAACACAUGCCAGUCGAGGGGGAACGCUGAGAGAGCUUGCUCUCUUAGUCGUCGACCGGCGCGCGGGUGAGUAACGCGUAUCCAACCUGCCUCUGACCAAGGGAUAACCCGUCGAAAGUCGGACUAAUACCUUAUGCAGUCGUCGGAAGUCAUCUGAUGACGACGAAAGAUUUCAUCGGUGAGAGAUGGGGAUGCGUCUGAUUAGCUUGUUGGCGGGGUAACGGCCCACCAAGGCGACGAUCAGUAGGGGUUCUGAGAGGAAGGUCCCCCACAUUGGAACUGAGACACGGUCCAAACUCCUACGGGAGGCAGCAGUGAGGAAUAUUGGUCAAUGGGCGUAAGCCUGAACCAGCCAAGUAGCGUGCAGGAUGACGGCCCUAUGGGUUGUAAACUGCUUUUAUGCGGGGAUAAAGUGAGGGACGUGUCCUUCAUUGCAGGUACCGCAUGAAUAAGGACCGGCUAAUUCCGUG
Molecule: ribosomal RNA, 491 nt
Filed under: uncultured bacterium
Lineage: Bacteria
Description: partial 16S ribosomal RNA
Rfam family: Bacterial small subunit ribosomal RNA
Source: RNAcentral